GCGGGUAUGGUGUAGUCUGGUAUCACUCCUCCUUGCCAAGGUGGUGACCCGGGUUCAAAUCCCGGUACUCGCA
Molecule: transfer RNA, 73 nt
Filed under: Candidatus Woesearchaeota archaeon
Lineage: Archaea; Nanobdellati; Candidatus Woesearchaeota
Also listed under: 2 other names
Description: tRNA-Gly
Rfam family: tRNA
About the family: Transfer RNA (tRNA) molecules are approximately 80 nucleotides in length. Their secondary structure includes four short double-helical elements and three loops (D, anti-codon, and T loops).
Source: RNAcentral